RNAcentral lists this small RNA (118 nucleotides) under Staphylococcus aureus. RNAcentral's name for it is "HMPRFS0000_0432". Lineage: Bacteria; Bacillati; Bacillota; Bacilli; Caryophanales; Staphylococcaceae. The record is from RNAcentral.
CUCAAAUUUUUGAAUAUAAUUCCGACUAGUAUGCUAAGAAUAAUAUUAAUUUUAAAAUAUUUCAAGAGGGCAUUUGCAUAAAUGUAAACAUGAUGAAAUUCGACCGUUGGCAUAAGGG